RNAcentral lists this ribosomal RNA (189 nucleotides) under uncultured bacterium. RNAcentral's name for it is "partial 16S ribosomal RNA". It matches the Rfam family "Bacterial small subunit ribosomal RNA", at positions 336 to 523 of the family's 1533-position model. The record is from RNAcentral.
CUCCUACGGGAGGCAGCAGUGAGGAAUAUUGGGCAAUGCCCGCAAGGGUGACCCAGCAACGCCGCGUGGAGGAUGAAGGCCGUAAGGUUGUAAACUCCUGUUAGAGGAGAAGAAUAGUACCGAUUGGAUCGGUAUUUGACUGUACCCUCAGAGAAAGCCCCGGCUAACUACGUGCCAGCGCCGCGGUAA